This 535-nucleotide long non-coding RNA is filed under the name Gallus gallus (chicken). RNAcentral describes it as "lncRNA (ENSGALG00010027552.1)". The record is from RNAcentral. Lineage: Eukaryota; Metazoa; Chordata; Aves; Galliformes; Phasianidae.
AUUUUAUCUUUGCAUGGUUAUCAUUGGUGAAAUCAAUGACCAAAAGUUUUUCCAUUUUGCAGGAGUCAUACAGUAACAUCAACAUUAGCAAUAACUUUUAUUCCGAAGACAGAUAAGAGGAAGACAAAGAUGGGGUUUUACCCAAAACUUCACUUACUCAAGAGGCUGAAAUCAACAUGAAGUCAGACGUGCUGGACAUUCUUUAAACCACUUGUGUCCACUGGAAUUGUCUUCUCCACAGUGUUAGCUAAAGCUGUAACUUGCCUGGAAGCCAUCUCUUGUCAAGGCAUGAGUCUGUGUUUUAAACAUGAACUGGCAUGCCUCAGAGGUCAUCACACUUCCUUCAGCUGCCCUGUCUCAAGGCUAUCUUCCCCAAAGGCAUCCAGUCAUCGUGCAGAAACAGAGACCAAGAGCAGAGUUUGCUGCAGUCAUUAGUCACUUCUGUUGCUUUGGGGUAUGGAUGAAAUAUGUCAAAAAGAAACAUGGGAAGCAAGUACCAACCUCCCACCAGUUGCAGCAAAGCGAGAGCUGGACU